CUGUCAAUGAUACCGGACCAAGCAAGGCUUGGGAGGAUAAGCAAUUGACAGCUU
This 54-nucleotide small RNA is filed under the name Lactobacillus kimbladii. Its description in RNAcentral is "Bacillus-plasmid RNA". It matches the Rfam family "Bacillus-plasmid RNA", at positions 2 to 54 of the family's 61-position model. The record is from RNAcentral. Lineage: Bacteria; Bacillati; Bacillota; Bacilli; Lactobacillales; Lactobacillaceae.